UUAACGAGAGUUUGAUCCUGGCUCAGGACGAACGCUGGCGGCGUGCCUAAUACAUGCAAGUCGAACGA
RNAcentral lists this ribosomal RNA (68 nucleotides) under Brochothrix thermosphacta DSM 20171 = FSL F6-1036. RNAcentral describes it as "partial 16S ribosomal RNA". It matches the Rfam family "Bacterial small subunit ribosomal RNA", at positions 1 to 69 of the family's 1533-position model. Lineage: Bacteria; Bacillati; Bacillota; Bacilli; Caryophanales; Listeriaceae. The record is from RNAcentral.